Long non-coding RNA from Triticum aestivum (bread wheat), 1359 nucleotides. RefSeq lists it as uncharacterized. Lineage: Eukaryota; Viridiplantae; Streptophyta; Magnoliopsida; Poales; Poaceae. The record is from RefSeq and is a predicted model, not a curated record. The transcript is spliced from 6 exons.
AUGGUGUGCUUCUGACAGUAUUUCACGGCGUUUGUACCAGCGGCAUAGUAACUAAAAACUACCGUGAACACAGCUUAUUUAUUGUUUCUGGAGGGCCUCACGGAUGAGCUAUUCAUCGGCGGCACCCUGCCAGUCGUUUAGAGGAUCUGCGGGAACAAAUGAACAAGCAGAGUGUCAUAAGUCAGGGACCAGCAUCCAUGCCAACUGCCCGGGAUGACUGCUAAGGCAAUUCAUAUUCUCUCUCAAUCGUCAGCCACCAUAUGAUGUUAAUUGAUCUUGAUCUUCCCCACUCGCCAGUUCUGAAGACACUUCGGAUCUCACAUUAACUUCAUUCAGUCUUUAAGAAUAACCAUAGUAAUAUGCAUCUCAAAGCUAUGGCUCAUGCGCCCAUACAAAAAAGGUCAACUGACUAGAUUGAGGAUACGUUAUGGCAAGAAGGCUAUAUAUUCAUGGGUGUGAAUGGGGACAGCAAGUAGGCGGCGUGUAUACUACACCAAGGAGCGAUACAAGGCAUGAAGCAAGCAAGCGAGCAGGUGUACACAGCGACCUGCUACUGCACUAAUAGCCUUGACAGAGCACCGGGGCCGGCUCAACAGGGCAUUCGGCCGCCGGCGGACCCUGGAUGUGCGCGAUGGAGAUGAACCCCACGUCGUCGUCUCUGCAGCCUGGAUAGAGCUCCGUCAGUGCUGGUGAUGAACCCCACGUCUGUGCUGGUGAUGGCGCUGUCCAUCUACUUUCUCCACUGGUUGUCAGACAGUAGAGAUCACAUUGUGGAUUUAUGUUUUCUUCAGAGUGUUCUCCCAUCAUUGUUGGAUGUCGAAUUUGCAAGGCAAUCCGUCUCUAUGUCGAUGUCUUAACCACUUCGUACUUCCGCACAAUUAGCAGAACAGAUCAGUUGCCACAAUUUACCCAUUGAUUUCUUGGACUGAUUCAGACCUAGGAAAGCCUGCUACUUGUGCAAGCAACAGGAAACCACUUCAACUAGCCUAGGACCAUCUCUGGUCCGACGCGCGAGGCGCCUACCGAGUGCCUCCCCAGCUUAACGGUCCCAAACCCAAGCGAUUAGAUACGAAGUCUACUCAGCAGGAGGAGCAUGAACAAUUGUGAAGGAGAACCCCACUGCCUUGGACCAGGUUGCUGAACCAAAAGCAGAAGGUGCGAGGGGCACUGUUCAGUAUCUUUAGGAAUGAAGCCAUGAGGAUGCUACCUAUUCUUUCCUUUCAAGUAUCCGGCACUACGAGCUGCAUUAGCUUCACCUCAGGAUGUUGAAAGAGGAAGUAGGAGUUUUCAGAAAUGAUAAUCUACAAGCGCAGUACAUGUUCGUUGAUUAACGAAGACAAAGGCCCUACAACUCAACUG